This 391-nucleotide small RNA is filed under the name Vigna angularis var. angularis. Its description in RNAcentral is "Non-protein coding transcript". The record is from RNAcentral. Lineage: Eukaryota; Viridiplantae; Streptophyta; Magnoliopsida; Fabales; Fabaceae.
UUUCAUUGUCCAUAAUAAUGCCAUAACUGCUCAAUGGUUGGGUGAGGUGAGCUUUGGAAUUUGGAGCUUUGUGGUGGUGGGGGUCUCCGUCGGUGAGAUGUUUCCACUGAAGUGAGAGCGAAGUGAAGACAGAAGACCGAGGUUGCCACACAUUCUCGGUGUUUGGUGCACAUAAAAAAGUGGUGGACAACCUGUCAUGAAAAAGAAAAUGGAAGUAAAGACAAGAUCUGAAGAAGAGUUUUAGCAUCGGUUUCUCUUGUAUGCAUGUUGCUGGUAUUGAGCCAGGGAUUAGAAAAGUAGUAUGCAGCAUUUGGAUUGUCGUUUUUGUCACGAUUUGAUCAUUAUAAUAAUUCUGGUAAAUCAAAAGUAUAAUCACUAUUUUAGUUUGUGU